UGGGGAAUAUUGCACAAUGGGGGAAACCCUGAUGCAGCAACGCCGCGUGGAGGAUGACGCAUUUCGGUGUGUAAACUCCUUUUAUAUACCAAGAUAAUGACGGUAGUAUAUGAAUAAGCACCGGCUAACUCCGUGCCAGCAGCCGCGGUAAUACGGAGGGUGCAAGCGUUACUCGGAAUCACUGGGCGUAAAGGAUGCGUAGGCGGAUGAUCAAGUCAGGAGUGAAAUCCUACAGCUUAACUGUAGAACUGCUCUUGAAACUGUUCAUCUAGAAUAUGGAAGAGGCAGAUGGAAUUAGUGGUGUAGGGGUAAAAUCCGUAGAGAUCACUAGGAAUACCGAUUGCGAAGGCGAUCUGCUGGGACAUUAUUGACGCUGAGGCAUGAAAGCGUGGGGAGCAAACA
RNAcentral lists this ribosomal RNA (402 nucleotides) under uncultured Campylobacterota bacterium. RNAcentral's name for it is "bacterial SSU rRNA". It matches the Rfam family "Bacterial small subunit ribosomal RNA", at positions 355 to 774 of the family's 1533-position model. Lineage: Bacteria; Pseudomonadati; Campylobacterota. The record is from RNAcentral.